Molecule: ribosomal RNA, 522 nt
Filed under: Candida albicans
Lineage: Eukaryota; Fungi; Ascomycota; Pichiomycetes; Serinales; Debaryomycetaceae
Description: LSU rRNA
Rfam family: Eukaryotic large subunit ribosomal RNA
Source: RNAcentral
UCAAAUUUGAAAUCUGGCGUCUUUGGCGUCCGAGUUGUAAUUUGAAGAAGGUAUCUUUGGGCCCGGCUCUUGUCUAUGUUCCUUGGAACAGGACGUCACAGAGGGUGAGAAUCCCGUGCGAUGAGAUGACCCGGGUCUGUGUAAAGUUCCUUCGACGAGUCGAGUUGUUUGGGAAUGCAGCUCUAAGUGGGUGGUAAAUUCCAUCUAAAGCUAAAUAUUGGCGAGAGACCGAUAGCGAACAAGUACAGUGAUGGAAAGAUGAAAAGAACUUUGAAAAGAGAGUGAAAAAGUACGUGAAAUUGUUGAAAGGGAAGGGCUUGAGAUCAGACUUGGUAUUUUGCAUGCUGCUCUCUCGGGGGCGGCCGCUGCGGUUUACCGGGCCAGCAUCGGUUUGGAGCGGCAGGAUAAUGGCGGAGGAAUGUGGCACGGCUUCUGCUGUGUGUUAUAGCCUCUGACGAUACUGCCAGCCUAGACCGAGGACUGCGGUUUUUACCUAGGAUGUUGGCAUAAUGAUCUUAAGUC